CCUACGUGGAGCAGCAGUGGGGAAUAUUGCGCAAUGGGCGAAAGCCUGACGCAGCGACGCCGCGUGAGGGAUGAAGGUCUUCGGAUCGUAAACCUCUGUCAGCAGGGAAGAACGGUCACUGUGCUAAUCAGCAGUGAAUUGACGGUACCUGCAAAGGAAGCACCGGCUAACUCCGUGCCAGCAGCCGCGGUAAUACGGAGGGUGCGCGCGUUAAUCGGAAUUACUGGGCGUAAAGCGCUCGUAGGCGGUAUGUCAAGUCAAGGGUGAAAUCCCCGCGCUCAACGUGGGAACUGCCUUUGAAACUGGCAAACUGGAGUGUGUGAGAGGAUAGUGGAAUUCCAGGUGUAGGAGUGAAAUCCGUAGAUAUCUGGAGGAACAUCAGUGGCGAAGGCGACUAUCUGGCACAUAACUGACGCUGAGUAGCGAAAGCGUGGGUAGCAAACAGGAUUAGAUACCCUAGUAGUC
RNAcentral lists this ribosomal RNA (465 nucleotides) under uncultured bacterium. RNAcentral's name for it is "partial 16S ribosomal RNA". It matches the Rfam family "Bacterial small subunit ribosomal RNA", at positions 338 to 795 of the family's 1533-position model. The record is from RNAcentral.